UGCAGUCGAGCGGACAGAUGGGAGCUUGCUCCCUGAUGUUAGCGGCGGACGGGUGAGUAACACGUGGGUAACCUGCCUGUAAGACUGGGAUAACUCCGGGAAACCGGGGCUAAUACCGGAUGGUUGUUUGAACCGCAUGGUUCAGACAUAAAAGGUGGCUUCGGCUACCACUUACAGAUGGACCCGCGGCGCAUUAGCUAGUUGGUGAGGUAACGGCUCACCAAGGCAACGAUGCGUAGCCGACCUGAGAGGGUGAUCGGCCACACUGGGACUGAGACACGGCCCAGACUCCUACGGGAGGCAGCAGUAGGGAAUCUUCCGCAAUGGACGAAAGUCUGACGGAGCAACGCCGCGUGAGUGAUGAAGGUUUUCGGAUCGUAAAGCUCUGUUGUUAGGGAAGAACAAGUGCCGUUCAAAUAGGGCGGCACCUUGACGGUACCUAACCAGAAAGCCACGGCUAACUACGUGCCAGCAGCCGCGGUAAUACGUAGGUGGCAAGCGUUGUCCGGAAUUAUUGGGCGUAAAGGGCUCGCAGGCGGUUUCUUAAGUCUGAUGUGAAAGCCCCCGGCUCAACCGGGGAGGGUCAUUGGAAACUGGGGAACUUGAGUGCAGAAGAGGAGAGU
RNAcentral lists this ribosomal RNA (623 nucleotides) under Bacillus subtilis. RNAcentral's name for it is "bacterial SSU rRNA". It matches the Rfam family "Bacterial small subunit ribosomal RNA", at positions 56 to 662 of the family's 1533-position model. Lineage: Bacteria; Bacillati; Bacillota; Bacilli; Caryophanales; Bacillaceae. The record is from RNAcentral.